UUGAGCCCAGGAGUUUGAGACCAGCCUGGCAACAAGGUAAAACACUGUCUCUACAAAAAAUACAAAAAUUAGCCAGGGUGGUGGUACAUGAGAGGGGACUUCCAUUCCCAGAGCUCCCUUGAAGGUGGCAGGCAGCCAAUGGGGGACACUGAGCCAGAGACAUCUGCCAGGAUAUGGAUCUGGGAACCUGUCAGUCCCCAUGCGUCUCCCAUGGCAGGGCCUGGAAAUC
RNAcentral lists this long non-coding RNA (229 nucleotides) under Homo sapiens (human). RNAcentral describes it as "non-protein coding lnc-SMURF2-1:1". Lineage: Eukaryota; Metazoa; Chordata; Mammalia; Primates; Hominidae. The record is from RNAcentral.